GAGUUUGAUCCUGGCUCAGGAUGAACGCUGGCGGCAUGCCUAAUACAUGCAAGUCGAACGAGAGACCUUCGGGUCUCUAGUGGCGAACGGGUGAGUAACACGUANGGAACCUGCCCGCGCACCGGGAAUACGCUCUGGAAACGGAGAACAAAUCCCGAUGUACAGGAAGGAGGCAUCUUCUUUCUGUGAAACAUCCUUUAGGGGAUGGGGCGCGGAUGGACCUGCGGUGCAUUAGUUGGUUGGCGGGGUAAAGGCCCACCAAGACGAUGAUGCAUAGCCGGCCUGAGAGGGCGGACGGCCACAUUGGGACUGAGACACGGCCCAGACUCCUGCGGGAGGCAGCAGUAGGGAAUUUUCGUCAAUGGGCGCAAGCCUGAACGAGCGAUGCCGCGUGAGUGAAGAAGGCCUUCGGGUCGUAAAGCUCUGUUGCGGGGGAAAAAAGGCAGCAUCAGGAAAUGGGUGCUGACUGAUGGUGCCCCGCCAGAAGGUCACGGCUAACUACGUGCCAGCAGCCGCGGUAAUACGUAGGUGGCGAGCGUUAUCCGGAAUGAUUGGGCGUAAAGGGUGCGCAGGCGGGUCUGCAAGUCUGGAGUGAAACGCAUGAGCUCAACUCAUGCAUGGCUUUGGAAACUGGAGGACUGGANAGCAAGAAAAGGCGGUGGAACUUCAUGUGUAGCGGUAAAAUGCGUAAAUAUAUGGGAGAACCCCAUUGGCCAAGGCGGGCCGCCUGGGCUGUUGCUGACCCUAAGGCACCAA
Molecule: ribosomal RNA, 756 nt
Filed under: uncultured bacterium
Lineage: Bacteria
Description: bacterial SSU rRNA
Rfam family: Bacterial small subunit ribosomal RNA
Source: RNAcentral